RNAcentral lists this transfer RNA (74 nucleotides) under Ignavibacteriae bacterium HGW-Ignavibacteriae-2. RNAcentral describes it as "tRNA-Gln". It matches the Rfam family "tRNA". From Rfam's summary of the family: Transfer RNA (tRNA) molecules are approximately 80 nucleotides in length. Lineage: Bacteria; Pseudomonadati; Ignavibacteriota. The record is from RNAcentral.
UGCCCCGUGGUGUAACGGUAGCACAGCAGUCUCUGGAUCUGUUUGUUUGGGUUCAAAUCCUAACGGGGCAGCAA